UAUUACAGGAAGGCACAUUUUGUGUAGCUUUGCCCGAAGAGAGAAGCUGUUUUCUGUCAGAGAUGGAACAUGUUAGCUGGUUGCCACGAUGUCUUCAUUUGUCCAUCGCUGCCCCUCUGUGAGCAGGCAGCCAUCAGGACACAGACAGUGGCAUGCUGGACAGGCCAACUCUGACAAGGAGCAAGCCACGCAGACAUUGUGCUGGAAUUUCUAUGCUGAAGAAUUAAGCUAUAUUGUUUGGCAAAAGAAGAAACUGAAAACAAGAAAUCCAUCCCUUUCUACCACUGCUAUUAUAUCAUCCACGUUUUAAAAAAAAAUUUGUAUGUAGUUAUAUACAACAAGAAGUUUCUGCUUCGGAUUUCUCUGUUAGGCAGGGUGGUGGGAGGGAUGGGGUCUCGAGUUUUUCCCAAGUGAAAUCCUGGAAAUCCUGCCUGAGAGAAUCCUUAUGAAAGUUUCACUCACAAUGAAAGCAAACUUCCAAGGUGGAAGAGGGUGAAGCCGGCUGGCUGGACCGAUCACUGAGGCCCAGCGCUGCAAAGAGAGCUCAGCACAUGAUUCCAACCCUUUCUGGGAGCACGGCCCAGGCUUGGCACCGGUUUGGUGUUCUUGAGUGUGACGCAUUCUGCAAACCUGGCUGCGUCCAUGGCCCAGCUCCAGUUCUGCAGGGCUCAUCAUCAGGCUGCCCCCUCUCCUAAGGUGUUUUGCAGAAUCACCCAUCAGAGCUAAACACCCACCAGCUGACCACCCGUUCCAGGUGAUGGGAUUUUGGCUCAGAUCAGCCUGGAUCAUGGUGGACCUCUACAAGCUGGCUUGCAUAAAUGUAAACGUCUGCUGCCCAUCUUGAAGACCAUCGGCAAGCUUUGGUGGGUUCAUAUUCAGUGGCAUUAGGGAUUAAAGCAAACUUAAAAUGAUUCUGAGUAUAAACAGAUACAGAUAUAAACUUUUGGGGGAACAAUUUGGUAAUAGCUAAUAACAAUCGUUAAAAUGUUUAUAUCCUUUGACCUGAUAGUGUUAGUUCUAAGAAUUUACCUUAAGAAAAUAAAUACAUUUAUAUCCCAUGA
RNAcentral lists this long non-coding RNA (1061 nucleotides) under Pongo abelii (Sumatran orangutan). RNAcentral's name for it is "lincRNA". The record is from RNAcentral. Lineage: Eukaryota; Metazoa; Chordata; Mammalia; Primates; Hominidae.